GGUGCCUAGUGCAGUCUUGGACAGGGAAAUCCCCGUGUCACGGAGCAGCGAGGGAAGGUGAGCGUGUUGUCAGCCUAGUCGUCCCUUAUCCGAAGCGAAGGGAAGACAUUCAGGUGUUUCCCUCUGAGGGUCUGAGUAUUCCCAGGUGGCAUGGGUGAUGCUGGCUGUUCCUUUCGAGCUUGGAUCUAACUUCCAGGCUGAAACGCAGUGUGCAGUACAGGACAUCAAGACCCGAGCUAUCUCUGGAGUGACUCUGUCCUCUGCAAGGAGCUGUACUGUUUGCUUGUCCAUCACGGAUAUGACCUUCUUGUAGCCCAGGGCAUGGGCAUGGACACUUGAAUGAAGCACGAGGGCUUUGGAAGCACCUUGCGACAGCAGAGUACAUCUCCUGCCACGUUCCUGUGGCGCGCCAGGUGUCAGCGGUUCCAGUUCGUGAAAUGCUGGAGAUGCUCGGAGCGCAAGAGGAGCUGGGAGCGUGAUGCAUCAAAUUGGUAUGUUAGCUACGUGACCUUGGCUCAGCACAGUAAAUGGAAGCGCUAAGCCUGGAUCGGGAAGGUGAAGAGGAGCCUUAUGCCGGAAGCAAUGUCCUGGCUAGCCUUUGUGUUCCUUGAUAAGGAUGGAACCUGCCUCCCAUCAUUCCCAAGCUAAGC
Long non-coding RNA from Cygnus atratus (black swan), 650 nucleotides. RefSeq lists it as uncharacterized. The transcript has 7 exons. Lineage: Eukaryota; Metazoa; Chordata; Aves; Anseriformes; Anatidae. The record is from RefSeq and is a predicted model, not a curated record.